GACGAACGCUGGCGGCGUGCUUAACACAUGCAAGUCGAACGGAAAGGCCCUGCUUUUGUGGGUUGCUCGUUUGGCGAACGGGUGUGUAACACGUGAGUAACCUGCCCUUGUCUUUGUGAUAACUUUUGGAAACUCGGGCUAAUACCGGAUAUGAUCUCCUGCUGCAUGGUGGGGGUUGGAAAGUUUCGGCGGUUGGGGCUGGACUCGCGGCUUAUCAGCUUGUUGGUGUGGUAGUUGCUUACCAAGGCUUUGACGGGUAGCCGGCCUGAGAGGGUGACCGGCCACAUUGGGACUGAGAUACGGACCAGACUCCUACGGGAGGCAGCAGUGGGGAAUAUUGCACAAUGGGCGGAAGCCUGAUGCAGCAACGCCGCGUGCGGGAUGACGGCCUUCGGGUUGUAAACCGCUUUCGCCUGUGACGAAGCGUGAGUGACGGUAAUGGGUAAAGAAGCAACGGCUAACUACGUG
RNAcentral lists this ribosomal RNA (468 nucleotides) under uncultured bacterium. RNAcentral's name for it is "partial 16S ribosomal RNA". It matches the Rfam family "Bacterial small subunit ribosomal RNA", at positions 28 to 507 of the family's 1533-position model. The record is from RNAcentral.